GUGGGGAAUUUUGGACAAUGGGGGCAACCCUGAUCCAGCCAUGCCGCGUGCGGGAAGAAGGCCUUCGGGUUGUAAACCGCUUUUAUUCGGGAAGAAGGAGUGCGGGUUAAUACCUUGCAUGACGGACGGUACUGGAUGAAUAAGCACCGGCUAACUACGUGCCAGCAGCCGCGGUAAUACGUAGGGUGCGAGCGUUAAUCGGAAUUACUGGGCGUAAAGCGUGCGCAGGCGGUUCUGAAAGUCAGCUGUGAAAGCCCCGGGCUUAACCUGGGAAUGGCGGUUGAAACUACAGGACUAGAAUCUGGCAGAGGGGGGUGGAAUUCCACGUGUAGCAGUGAAAUGCGUAGAGAUGUGGAGGAACACCGAUGGCGAAGGCAGCCCCCUGGGCUGAGAUUGACGCUCAGGCACGAAAGCGUGGGGAGCAAACAGGAUUAGAAACCCUUGUAGUCC
This 450-nucleotide ribosomal RNA is filed under the name uncultured bacterium. RNAcentral describes it as "bacterial SSU rRNA". It matches the Rfam family "Bacterial small subunit ribosomal RNA", at positions 354 to 796 of the family's 1533-position model. The record is from RNAcentral.